This 253-nucleotide ribosomal RNA is filed under the name uncultured bacterium. RNAcentral describes it as "partial 16S ribosomal RNA". It matches the Rfam family "Bacterial small subunit ribosomal RNA", at positions 524 to 776 of the family's 1533-position model. The record is from RNAcentral.
UACGGAGGAUCCGAGCGUUAUCCGGAUUUAUUGGGUUUAAAGGGUGCGUAGGCGGCCUGUUAAGUCAGGGGUGAAAGGCGGUAGCUCAACUAUCGCAGUGCCCUUGAUACUGAUGGGCUUGAAUGUACUAGAGGUAGGCGGAAUGUGACAAGUAGCGGUGAAAUGCAUAGAUAUGUCACAGAACACCAAUUGCGAAGGCAGCUUACUAUGGUAUUAUUGACGCUGAGGCACGAAAGCGUGGGGAUCAAACAGG